GGGGGUAUAGCUCAGUGGUAGAGUGUAUGCUUAGCAGGCACGAGGUCCUGGGUUCAAUCCCCAGUGCCUCCA
RNAcentral lists this transfer RNA (72 nucleotides) under Camelus bactrianus (Bactrian camel). It matches the Rfam family "tRNA". Rfam says of the family: Transfer RNA (tRNA) molecules are approximately 80 nucleotides in length. Lineage: Eukaryota; Metazoa; Chordata; Mammalia; Artiodactyla; Camelidae. RNAcentral also lists the same sequence under 2 other names. The record is from Rfam by way of RNAcentral.